AUGAUUGAACCUGACCUGGUCAGGAAAGAGGGCGAGGAGGAAGGAGAGGGAGGAUUGGACUCUCACAUUGACCACAGAAGAGAGCAGGUUUGGGUCAAGGAUCAGGGGCUGUGCGGGCGCACAUCCACACUGGUGCUCUUCACACUUGCCUCGGGCAGCAGCUUCCUGGCUCUCACCCACGCCAUCACGUUUCGGUUGAGGCCGCCUUGCAAUAAGCCAAUACUCUAUCAAAAAGCCCAGACCCUGUUGCACAAAACAAUUGGUGCUUUUGGUAGCCACCCUUUGAUUCUCGGAUUAUUGAAUCGGUAA
RNAcentral lists this ribosomal RNA (309 nucleotides) under Triticum aestivum (bread wheat). RNAcentral describes it as "partial small subunit ribosomal RNA". The record is from RNAcentral. Lineage: Eukaryota; Viridiplantae; Streptophyta; Magnoliopsida; Poales; Poaceae.